ACAAGGAGCAAUCUGAGGUGGCGACCGGCGCACGGGUGAGUAACACGUAUGCAACCUGCCUGUAAGCGGGGAAUAACCCGUUGAAAGACGGACUAAUACCGCAUAAUACUAAAUUACUGCAUGGUAAUUUAUUUAAACAUUUAUGGCUUACAGAUGGGCAUGCGCAUGAUUAGCUAGUUGGAGAGGUAACGGCUCCCCAAGGCAACGAUCAUUAGGGGUUCUGAGAGGAAGGUCCCCCACACUGGUACUGAGACACGGACCAGACUCCUACGGGAGGCAGCAGUGAGGAAUAUUGGUCAAUGGACGAGAGUCUGAACCAGCCAAGUCGCGUGCAGGAAGAAUGUCCUUAAUGGAUUGUAAACUGCUUUUGCAGGGGAAUAAAGUGCAUCACGUGUGAUGUUUUGUAUGUACUCUGCGAAUAAGGAUCGGCUAACUCCGUGCCAGCAGCUGC
This 451-nucleotide ribosomal RNA is filed under the name uncultured bacterium. RNAcentral's name for it is "bacterial SSU rRNA". It matches the Rfam family "Bacterial small subunit ribosomal RNA", at positions 72 to 518 of the family's 1533-position model. The record is from RNAcentral.